UAGCCCAGACUCAACCUGAGCCCUGAA
RNAcentral lists this non-coding RNA (27 nucleotides) under Macaca fascicularis (crab-eating macaque). The record is from RNAcentral. Lineage: Eukaryota; Metazoa; Chordata; Mammalia; Primates; Cercopithecidae. RNAcentral also lists the same sequence under 1 other name.